Molecule: long non-coding RNA, 5017 nt
Organism: Patella vulgata (common limpet)
Lineage: Eukaryota; Metazoa; Mollusca; Gastropoda; Patellidae
Exons: 3
Source: RefSeq, a predicted model, not a curated record
CGUGCUAAGAAAAAAGAAAAAUUCUGAAAAGUGAUAAUUUUGCCGCGUUGCUUAGCAACAUUGGAAGCAGAAAUAUAAAUGUGGUACUUUCUCCCGCGGGUUUAUUGAUAAACUAAGCCAGUGAGUAGACAGAUCGUUCUCACGCGUUUAGUAACAUAUUGCGGGAUUUACAACGUCUGUGAUCCCCGAAUAGUACUGUUUAAACAAGAAGUAAUGAUUCAAAUGACGUACUAUAUGUAGUUACGAGGGAUUUAGUCGAACUCAUGAGCGAGCCAAAUGAGGACAGAAAAAAUGUGGAGCCACCUUCUUAUAGCGAGGCUCACCUAUAUCCCAGUCACGUGACAUGCGAUGCCACCGGAAGUGAACUUCCGUUGAUGUCUGAUGCCGCCUGCAGUGACGUAAAAGUGAACAUAAAUCCAGACUCGAACAGUAGGGAUGAGGAAACACGUAGCCAUUCAAGUGACUAUGUAUUAUUAAGUCGUAUAGACGUGAACAAUCAAUAUAAUGGUCCGCCAACACCUGGAAGUAAAUAUUCCUAUAAGAACUGUAAUCUUGUUUUCCACGACUCCAUGUCCACUGUAAGAUAUGUUUGGAAGGAAGGAAAAGUACAGGCCGUACCGGUCGAUAAAAGCAAUGCCAAUGGCCCUAAACGAUCAGCGGGAUUAUUAUCGUGUGCUUUCUGUGCGGGACUGUUGUUAUUGUCUAUAGUCAUUUUGUUUGUUAUCACUUCAUCCAAAUUACUGUAACACAGAACAAUCCACUCGGUAAUCGUCGACUAUUUUGAAAAAAGAAGAACUUGUACACAUCUCAGCUUUAAACCAAUUCCUCGGCGAAGAUGUCUUGUAUCAAGGCUAGUAAAGGAAAAAUGAGUAAUGUUACUAAGAACUUUGAUUCAUAUUGUUGAUUGUUGAAGGACUGGUGGGGAUAACCAAUCUAUCGCUACGCUCGGUAACCUGUGUUUCAAACAAAAGUCAAGAUAUAUAUGUGUGACAACAAGGCCAACUAAAUAAUAUGGUUGUUUCUGUAUACUGAUCUGGCUGCUAAUCAAAGAAAUAGAAAACUGAUAUUUUCUUGAGGUUUUUUUUUUUAAAAAAAUUUUGGACAAAUUAUAAGCCUGAUUCUUUUCAUUGACACCUGCUGCUCUGUCAAUAUGUAAAAUGUAUAUUUUGUCCAGAUCUUAUCAUAUAAAGUUUUACUAGCAAGAAACACCCAGUGACGUUGCAACAUACAUUAAUGACGCAUUGUGUUCCUAUUAUUGUGUCUUGUAUCACACCAAUAAGAUCUCCCGAUAUGCCGACAUAUUGCCUUCAUUUGAUUCUCACCAAACCAACAUAAACCACCAGGCGAUAUUUCACAAAGUGAAAAAAAUCAAUGAAUUGAAACUUCAUACAUACAAUAUAAUCGGCAUAUUAUGUGUCAUAAUUUCAUAUUUAUUAUCUUUAAAGCCUAGCUCACACGGGUAACUUUUAAGCGACUUUACUUGCCUCCAUAUUGCUAGAAACCGCCCUUGUGCGCGUCAUUGCAACGGAAACGGAUAUCUAUUUUUGUCGCCUGUGAGGGUUGCCAAUAUAUUUCUCAUCAGUGGCUGUGUACACACAAUCUGUUUCACAGAGAAUUACGAGUCUCGUAUAAUAUCUCUGUCAUAGAUGACUGCCUUAACACGUGCUGUCACAGCACGCGGUGUGAAUCAUUGGCUGAAUGGCGCGUGCAUUGUUUACAUAAGACAUAACUGCUUCGGAGAGAAUGCUGCAUUUUAGUCAAUGUAAUACCCAUUUACACUAAAUCGGAAAUAGUUUUUACCUACAAAUACGUCAAACGCCUUUAUUUAUUUUUCAAAUAUAUACAAAAAAUGUUUUAGAAUUUAAUUUGUCGCAGGAAAAAUGUUAAUAUUUCUAGCUCAUUAAGCCGCAUCAAUGUCAUCCUUAUCAGUGAUUGUCGCGGCCAAGCAAAUAUUCACUGCGGAUCAGUGUGGUGUAUACACUAUCAAGUAAUCUGUCGCAAAAUAUCACGUGAUAUUACAAAAUCGGCAAAUGGGUGUAUAUCUAUACACCUUUUGACCGCACAAUUGUCCAGAAAUUACUGGUUGCUUCAGCAAACGAAGAAAAUCGCCCGUGUACGCUAGGCUUUAGGUUACUUCUGGUUCCUUAAUCGUAUUAUUAGACGUUAAGGUGUUAUGUUAACACCUCGUAUAAUCAUUUCUAUAUGAAAAUUAACUGAAAAUAUUCUAGAAUAAGUUGUCUUUAGAAAUCAAAAUUGCAUAAUGUUAUAUCAACAUAUAUAUAAACUGUUCAUUAGAUUCGUUGGCAUGUAUAUCAAUUUUGCUCUUGACUCGAUUUUAUAUCUAAAUGUACAAAAGAGUUUAUUGGGUGUCACGGUCAUUCACCUCAGUAAAAUGAAUUUGAUUAACUGAAAAGGUUAAACCUCCUACCUCACAAUAUACAUUUGUGUGCUUUUUUAUGCCGAUCUUUACCAUUCUAGCACACUAUGCUUAGUUAAUCACUAUAGACAUUUGAUACCAUAUCUAGGCUUAUGCGAAUGAUAAGGCCACAUUAAUUUGAAUAUCUAUUCUUCGGCAACACCAAUUAAAAAUUCUGCCUCCAAUUUCUUCAGAAAAAAUACUGAUUUGAAAACAAAAAAUACUUAGAAGCUCUUCUCAAAAGCUUUUAGAAUUGAGUGGGUUAUGUAAAAAUAAAGACCCUGAAAAAUUAAAAAUUAAUGUGAUCUGGCCUUAUGGACUAUUCUAAUCAGUUAUGUUCGAUGAAAUCCGUGAGCAGUCCAAAUUGAGUUAGAAUUGUUUGCACCUGGUUAAUCCAGUCAACAAGUUCAUCUUUUUUAUAGUUUGUGGAUCAGCCAUGUGUAAUCGAUGUUUUGAUUUGUUCAUCAAGUCUUUUCAUUAUCAAUGACGUUCGAACUCGACGUCGGGAACUGAUCUUCAAAUUAUCAAUUUGUAUUAAUUUCACGGUAAGAUAACAUCAAUAUUGAUUGUAAUGGACCAAUGUUGAAUUCUUAUUUGUGUUUUUAAUGUCGAAUCUUACGGAUAAUAUUGAACUGGAGAUAUACUCCCUUUAAUGUACAUUAUGCGAUUUUGCCAAAAUGCGUGGAUUAGUGCUAAUUAUUAGAAAUAGGAACAUAAAUACGCUGUACACUUCUAGACUAUCAGCUAACGUCGAUUCGCCCAAUUAGAUACACGAGAAGCCCAAACAAACAGAACGCAAAUUAAUUAAAAGGGGCAUUUUGGUGCUAACGCCCCACCCCUUUCUUAGAUAAGUUUAGCAUGAAUCUAACUUCUACUUGCUUUACGGACAGCCGUUUUUGUCGAGAAUCCAUAUCAAUGUCAAUUUCAUAUCACUUUUUUAUUAGGUUAAUGCCAGGCUGACACUUGCACGACUUUUGGCCACGAUUUUGUCGUUGCAAGUCGUGCCAUUUUGGGGCACGAACUGGGAGGCUCCCUCAAAGUUCACGACUAGUUCACGCAUAGUUCACGACGAGUUCACGAAUGCGUGCCCAUCAGUGUCCACAUUGACACGAACUGGCUGGCACGACGAGUUCACGCAUAGUUUGCGCAUAGUUUGCGCAUUGUUUACGCACUUCCCGCAUUGGCACGACGAGUUUGAGCAAUUCGGACGGUGUCGUGCCGACUUGGGCACGCCAUAUAAAAAGGGGUCCUCCCCAACCCCUGGUCAUUUUUGGAUUGGCCGUGGAAGAGACAACAUGCUGAAUGUCAGAGACACAAUCAUUGCAGGGAAGAGAAGUUGCCUAUACCUGGCAGCUGCUCUAGCCAUUGUUCAAGAGCAGCAGAAAAGGCUGGAAGAGGCAGAAGAGCAAGAAAAGUCAACCCCACCUCGAAGAAAGACACAAAGGAAAGUGUGGGUCAGGGAAUGGUUGACCAGAAGGCAAGAGUUUGGACAGUAUGAAAGUUUACUGACUGAACGCCACGCACUGGCACGCAUCCUCCCGCAUCGUCCCGACGAGUUCACGACGAGUUCACGAACAGUUUGCGCAUAGUUCACGACCCGGUCGCUAAAUUUUGUCGUGACCAAAAUUUUGAACAUUUCAAAAUUCUCGUCCCGACAUGGCACGCAGUCACGACGGGUUUACGCACACUUCACGCCAGUUUACGACUAGUUUGCGCACUGGCACGACUCGAGCCACGGAAUCGUGCAAGUGUCAGCCUUGCUUAAGCAACAAAGAAUGUGUUGACAAAGAAUGAUUAUCUACAUGCAUGAUAUUUUAUCAAAUAUUUUAUUGGUAUUACAAAAUAUUAAAUAACGUAUCAUGAUCUCUUUGAUCCAAUCUCUGCAGCCGAACCAUAAAAUUGCUACUCAUCUCUGUGUUUUAAUACACCCAACUAUUAAUGUGUUCGUAUAUUGCCUUUAACACUGUCCGUCCGUCUACCCAAAAUCUUGAAUGACAAUCUUAUUUCGUUUCGUUUUUUUAUAGUUCAAGUAUAAAAGUAUAAAGAGAACGAAACGAAAUAUAUGUCAGUUUUAUUUUUUGUUUUCUAUUGCAAAUUUUCUAAGAUUUUUUUGCCUGGUCAUAAAGACGAAUACUGCCGAAAUCAAGUUACUACCCCACCCCUCACCUCCCCAAAUCAUUGCAUGUCAGAAUUGUUAAACUUUUUUUUUCAAAUUAUUCAAACUUACUGGGAUUUGACUAGUUUAGUCACUGGGAUAGCGUCUUUCAAAAUUAAUGAUGAGGUUAUCGAUCCUAUCAUUUUCACCUGUUAAAAAACAAGUCAGAUGUAUGAUUCGUCUUGAAAAGCUGAAUACUGACAGCCCCAUAGUUUCUAAAUAGUUUAUUUUUUUAAAAAUGGUUGUAGAACUAAUUAGAAUGUAGGGUACGUUUGUCAUCAAAGCCAGAUUUUACGUAUAUGUACUUUCCAAAGAGUUGCGAGUGGGUGUAUGUUUCGUUGUCUAGCAACACGUCUUUUUUUGGUUUUAUAAUUUGUAUAUAUCUGUACGUAUGAAAAUAAAUAUUUGAUUAUCAGAAAUGUCGUGUAUGAAUAUGUUUCAGUUUA